GGGGCGUUAGCUCAGCGGUAGAGCAGUUGGCUUUUAACCAAUUGGUCGAUGGUUCGAAUCCAUCACGCCCCA
Pseudohongiella acticola is the source of this 72-nucleotide transfer RNA. It matches the Rfam family "tRNA". Rfam says of the family: Transfer RNA (tRNA) molecules are approximately 80 nucleotides in length. Their secondary structure includes four short double-helical elements and three loops (D, anti-codon, and T loops). Further hydrogen bonds mediate the characteristic L-shaped molecular structure. tRNAs have two regions of fundamental functional importance: the anti-codon, which is responsible for specific mRNA codon recognition, and the 3' end, to which the tRNAs corresponding amino acid is attached (by aminoacyl-tRNA synthetases). tRNAs cope with the degeneracy of the genetic code in two manners: having more than one tRNA (with a specific anti-codon) for a particular amino acid; and 'wobble' base-pairing, i.e. permitting non-standard base-pairing at the 3rd anti-codon position. Lineage: Bacteria; Pseudomonadati; Pseudomonadota; Gammaproteobacteria; Pseudomonadales; Pseudohongiellaceae. The record is from Rfam.